CCAAUCUUCUCCUUCGUCUCCGCUUCACAACAACAUAUCAUCUAAAAAGAUUUAGAGUUUAGACAGAGAAACUCUCUCUCUCUCUCUCUCUCUAGCCAUUUUCUCUUUCUGAAACUGUCGUUGCCACCGGAGAGAGAAGUCACACGAAACUCACUGAUUUCAUAUAAAGGAAAGAUAUAUAGUGCUCACGCACUUAAAACACGUAAUUUUCCUGGAAAAUAAACAGCCAGAGAGAAAGAAAAAAAAGAAAGUCGUAGGAAAUUGAGGAAGAAAAAAGGUCAUGGCGAUACCGUUGGACAGAGGAGGAGUGGCGGUGCUCUCGAAUUCCGUCAACAAGGUCGAUUCAUCCUCGGCUCUCAAUGGCGGCUUGAAGUGCUCCAAACUGGAGUCGCCAAUUUUGAUUUUCUUGUUCUUUCACAAGGCGAUUCGGAAUGAGCUUGACGCGCUGCACCGAUUGGCCAUGGCAUUUGCCACCGGCAAUCGCUCUGAUAUUCAGCCGCUCUCCGAGCGCUACCAUUUCCUCAGCUCGAUUUAUAGGCACCACUCCAUUGCGGAAGAUGAGGUGAUUUUUCCAGCUCUAGAUAUACGUGUGAAGAAUGUAGCACAGACAUAUUCUCUUGAGCACAAGGGUGAAAGCCAUCUUUUUGAUCAUCUAUUUGAGCUGUUAAAUUCUUCCCUCCAUAAUGAUGAAAGUUUUCCAAGAGAAUUAGCAUCAUGCACGGGAGCUUUGCAUACAUCAGUUAGUCAACACAUGGCAAAGGAAGAGGAGCAGGUAUUUCCUCUGCUUAUUGAAAAGUUCUCUCUCGAGGAACAGGCAUCCUUAGUUUGGCAGUUUCUUUGCAGUAUUCCUGUGAAUAUGAUGGCAGAAUUUCUUCCAUGGCUUAAAACAUCUAUAUCACCUGAUGAAUCUCAGGAUCUUCGAAAUUGCUUAAUCAAGAUAGUGCCAGAGGAAAAGCUUCUUCAGAAGGUUAUCUUCACCUGGAUGGAAGGGAGAAGUAGUGUUAACACAGUUGAAAGUUGUGCAGAUCAUUCUCAAGUUCAAUGUAGUUCUAGCCCAUUAACCCAUCAGGUUAGGAAAGUAAACUGUGUAUGCGAGUCGACAACAACUGGAAAAAGGAAAUAUUCUGGAUCCAUUGAAGAUGUUUCUGAUGUCACUGGAACACAUCCUAUUGAUGAAAUUUUGCUCUGGCAUAAUGCAAUAAAAAAAGAGUUAAGUGAGAUAGCAGUGGAGACCAGACAGAUACAACACUCUGGAAAUUUUACUAAUCUAUUGGCUUUUAAUGAAAGAUUGCAAUUCAUUGCUGAAGUUUGCAUAUUUCACAGUAUUGCUGAGGACAAGGUUAUUUUUCCAGCGGUAGAUGGAGAACUUUCUUUCUUUCAGGAACAUACUGAAGAAGAAAGCCAAUUUAAUGACUUCCGGUGUUUAAUUGAAGGUAUUCAAAAUGAAGGAGCAUCGUCUAAUUCAGAAGUUGAAUUUUAUUCCAAGUUAUGCUCUCAUGCUGAUCAUAUAAUGGAAACCAUACAGAGACAUUUCCAUAAUGAAGAGGUUCAGGUUCUUCCACUUGCAAGAAAGCACUUUAGCUUUAAAAGGCAACGCGAACUUCUGUAUCAAAGCUUAUGCAUGAUGCCUCUGAAAUUGAUUGAGCGCGUCCUGCCAUGGUUAGUAGGAUCUUUAACUGAAGAUGAAGCAAAGAUGUUUCUUAGAAACAUGCAGAUGGCAGCUCCAGCAACAGAUUCUGCUCUAGUUACACUCUUCUGUGGUUGGGCUUGCAAGGCUCGUAAUGAAGGUCUGUGUUUGUCUUCAGGUGCAUCAGGUUGCUGUCCUGCUCAAAGACUUUCCGAUAUCGAAGAAAAUAUUGUUCGGCCAUCCUGUGCUUGUGCCUCUGCAGUGUCUGGUAGACAUUGCUCAGUAUUAGCUGAAUCAGAUCGGAACAAUAGAUCAGUCAAGCGUAACACAUUGGAGUCGGACAAGAAUGGAGAUGUAACUGUAACUUCAGAGGCUGAAAGUAUCCCGAAACAAUUUUGUAGUGCUCGACCUUGUUGCGUGCCAGGUUUAGGAGUAAGCAGUAACAAUUUGGGGCUGAGUUCUCUUUCUACAGCAAAGUCCUUACGCUCCUUGUCUUUCAGUUCUUCUGCUCCAUCUCUUAAUUCUAGUCUUUUCACAUGGGAAACAGAUAGCAGCUCUUGUGAUGUUGGCUCUGUACAAAGACCAAUUGAUACCAUAUUUAAAUUCCAUAAAGCUAUUCGUAAAGACCUGGAGUAUUUAGAUGUUGAAUCUGGAAAACUGAGUGAUGGUGAUGAGACAAUACUUCGGCAAUUUAGUGGAAGGUUUCGUCUUUUGUGGGGUUUAUACAGAGCUCAUAGUAAUGCCGAAGAUGAUAUAGUGUUUCCAGCAUUGGAAUCCAAAGAGGCACUUCAUAACGUGAGUCAUUCAUACAUGCUGGACCAUAAGCAGGAGGAACAAUUGUUUGAAGAUAUUUCCUGCGUUCUUUCUGAGCUUUCUGUCCUUCAUGAAACCUUGCGGAUGACCCAUAUGUCAGAGGAUUUAUGUGAAAGUAAUUUUGGAACUUCGGAUGCCACUGAGAGUGGUGAUAUCAAAAAGUAUAAUGAACUUGCUACUAAACUUCAGGGGAUGUGCAAAUCCAUAAGAGUGACUCUGGAUCAGCAUCUUUUCAGGGAAGAGUGUGAACUCUGGCCAUUGUUUGGGAAACAUUUCACUGUGGAAGAACAAGACAAGAUAGUUGGCCGGAUAAUUGGAACUACAGGUGCUGAAGUUCUCCAAUCAAUGUUACCAUGGGUAACUUCUGCACUUACUCAGGAUGAACAGAACAAAAUGAUGGACACAUGGAAGCAGGCAACUAAGAACACUAUGUUCAAUGAAUGGCUUAAUGAAUGCUGGAAAGAGAAUCCAGCAUCUGUAACUCUGACAGAAACAUCAGAUCAUAGCACUUCUCAGAGAGGUGCAGAAUAUCAAGAAAGCUUGGGCCACAAUGAUCAGAUGUUCAAGCCAGGUUGGAAAGACAUAUUCCGGAUGAAUCAGAAUGAACUUGAGUCAGAGAUCCGGAAGGUUUAUCGUGACUCAACUCUUGAUCCUAGGAGAAAGGCAUAUCUUGUGCAGAAUCUAAUGACAAGUCGUUGGAUAGCUGCCCAGCAGAAAUCACCUAAAGCUCUAUCUGAAGGAUCAUCUAAUGGUGUAGAAACAGAAGGACUCUCACCAUCAUUUCGGGACCCAGGGAAACAUGUAUUUGGGUGUGAGCACUAUAAGAGAAAUUGCAAGCUCCAAGCUGCAUGUUGUGGCAAGUUAUUUACUUGCAGAUUUUGUCAUGACAAUGUGAGCGAUCACUCGAUGGAUAGAAAAGCGACAUCGGAAAUGAUGUGUAUGCGCUGCCUGAAUAUACAACCAGUAGGGCCUAUAUGCAUGACACCUUCAUGUAACGGGCUUUCAAUGGCAAAGUAUUAUUGCAAUAUAUGCAAAUUUUUUGAUGAUGAAAGGAAUGUAUAUCAUUGCCCAUUUUGCAAUUUAUGCCGUGUUGGACGAGGGCUUGGGAUUGAUUAUUUUCAUUGUAUGAAAUGCAAUUGUUGCCUGGGGAUGAAAUCAGUAUCUCACAAGUGCCUGGAGAAAGGUUUAGAAAUGAACUGUCCAAUUUGCUGUGAUGACUUAUUCACGUCAAGUGCUACAGUCAGAGCUCUACCUUGUGGCCAUUAUAUGCAUUCUGCAUGCUUUCAGGCAUACACUUGUAGUCACUACACAUGCCCAAUCUGCAGCAAGUCAUUGGGAGAUAUGGCGGUUUACUUUGGUAUGCUCGAUGCCUUAUUGGUUGCUGAGGAGCUUCCUGAAGAGUACAGGGACCGCUAUCAGGACAUACUCUGCCAUGACUGUGAUCGAAAGGGCACUUCACGCUUCCACUGGUUGUAUCACAAAUGUGGAUUUUGUGGCUCUUACAAUACCCGGGUGAUCAAAUGUGAGGCAUCAAAUUCCACCUGCUCUUAGUGUGCUAGAAUUUGUCAGGAGGUAGACAUAGUUUGUAAAUACUUGUAUAGCCAAUCCAAAUUUCCCCCCAACCAGGAGGCCUAUCAUUGUUUCGUCUUAUGCAUAAUGCAAAUCAACUUUCUUCGAACUUUUUCUUUAUGCAAUUGGAUACUUUUGCAGCCUCAGCUCGUUUCUUUCUUCUUAUCGUUAAGUUCAUAUCAGUGCGCUUACUGCGCUCUAUUCAUGCUAAGGAUUUCAUCUACAAAUUCCCUGGCUCGAGGUAGAUACCGACUGAUGUCAUUAUGGGUUCAUAUGGAAGCUCAGAUGAUAUCGUUACCGAAGUGUUGUACCUACUAUAUCAUUUUGAGUCCAAUUGUGUAGUAAUUCUAUCAAUUUAGAUAGUGGUAGACGAAUCAAUGGUUAAAUUGAAUUUCCAAUCUUCAAUCACAAGAAGUUGAA
Molecule: RNA transcript, 4429 nt
Organism: Gastrolobium bilobum
Lineage: Eukaryota; Viridiplantae; Streptophyta; Magnoliopsida; Fabales; Fabaceae
Gene name: zinc finger protein BRUTUS-like
Exons: 15
Source: RefSeq, a predicted model, not a curated record